UUCGCAAUGCCCGAAAGGGUGAACGAGCGACGCCGCGUGCGGGAUGAAGGCCUUCGGGUUGUAAACCGCUUUUGCAAGGGAAAAACUUAAUGAUGGUACCUUGCGAAUAAGAGGUUACUAACUCUGUGCCAGCAGUAGCGGUAAUACGGAGACCUCAAGCGUUAUCCGGAUUUAUUGGGCGUAAAGCGCGUGUAGGCGGAUGGGAACGUCGGUCUUUGAAAGCCCACGGCUCAACCGGGGAAGCGGAGCCGAAACGACCGAUCUGGAGGGACGUAGGGGGACCUGGAACUUCCGGUGGAGCGGUGAAAUGCGUUGAGAUCGGAAGGAACGCCCGUGGCGAAAGCGAGGUCCUGGACGUCUGCUGACGCUGAGACGCGAAAGCUAGGGGAGCAAACGGGAUUAGAUACCCCGGUAGUCCUAGCCGUAAACGAUGGGCACUAAGUAGAGGGGUUUU
Molecule: ribosomal RNA, 454 nt
Filed under: uncultured bacterium
Lineage: Bacteria
Description: bacterial SSU rRNA
Rfam family: Bacterial small subunit ribosomal RNA
Source: RNAcentral